Molecule: ribosomal RNA, 1383 nt
Filed under: uncultured bacterium
Lineage: Bacteria
Description: bacterial SSU rRNA
Rfam family: Bacterial small subunit ribosomal RNA
Source: RNAcentral
CCUGGCUCACGUUUAGCGCUAGCUACAGCGCUUAACACAUGCAAGUCGAGGGGCAGCAUGGUCUUAGCUUGCUAAGGCCGAUGGCGACCGGCGCACGGGUGAGUAACACGUAUCCAACCUGCCGUCUACUCUUGGACAGCCUUCUGAAAGGAAGAUUAAUACAAGAUGGCAUCAUGAGUCCGCAUGUUCACAUGAUUAAAGGUAUUCCGGUAGACGAUGGGGAUGCGUUCCAUUAGAUAGUAGGCGGGGUAACGGCCCACCUAGUCUUCGAUGGAUAGGGGUUCUGAGAGGAAGGUCCCCCACAUUGGAACUGAGACACGGUCCAAACUCCUACGGGAGGCAGCAGUGAGGAAUAUUGGUCAAUGGGCGAGAGCCUGAACCAGCCAAGUAGCGUGAAGGAUGACUGCCCUAUGGGUUGUAAACUUCUUUUAUAAAGGAAUAAAGUCGGGUAUGGAUACCCGUUUGCAUGUACUUUAUGAAUAAGGAUCGGCUAACUCCGUGCCAGCAGCCGCGGUAAUACGGAGGAUCCGAGCGUUAUCCGGAUUUAUUGGGUUUAAAGGGAGCGUAGAUGGAUGUUUAAGUCAGUUGUGAAAGUUUGCGGCUCAACCGUAAAAUUGCAGUUGAUACUGGAUAUCUUGAGUGCAGUUGAGGCAGGCGGAAUUCGUGGUGUAGCGGUGAAAUGCUUAGAUAUCACGAAGAACUCCGAUUGCGAAGGCAGCCUGCUAAGCUGCAACUGACAUUGAGGCUCGAAAGUGUGGGUAUCAAACAGGAUUAGAUACCCUGGUAGUCCACACGGUAAACGAUGAAUACUCGCUGUUUGCGAUAUACAGCAAGCGGCCAAGCGAAAGCGUUAAGUAUUCCACCUGGGGAGUACGCCGGCAACGGUGAAACUCAAAGGAAUUGACGGGGGCCCGCACAAGCGGAGGAACAUGUGGUUUAAUUCGAUGAUACGCGAGGAACCUUACCCGGGCUUAAAUUGCAGAUGAAUUACGGUGAAAGCCGUAAGCCGCAAGGCAUCUGUGAAGGUGCUGCAUGGUUGUCGUCAGCUCGUGCCGUGAGGUGUCGGCUUAAGUGCCAUAACGAGCGCAACCCUUGUUGUCAGUUACUAACAGGUUCCGCUGAGGACUCUGACAAGACUGCCAUCGUAAGAUGUGAGGAAGGUGGGGAUGACGUCAAAUCAGCACGGCCCUUACGUCCGGGGCUACACACGUGUUACAAUGGGGGGUACAGAGGGCCGCUACCACGCGAGUGGAUGCCAAUCCCCAAAACCUCUCUCAGUUCGGACUGGAGUCUGCAACCCGACUCCACGAAGCUGGAUUCGCUAGUAAUCGCGCAUCAGCCACGGCGCGGUGAAUACGUUCCCGGGCCUUGCACACACCGCCC